GCACUGCUGAGGAGUCCCAUACUAGGACGAAACGUGCGGCCAGUGC
RNAcentral lists this non-coding RNA (46 nucleotides) under Schistosoma haematobium. The record is from RNAcentral. Lineage: Eukaryota; Metazoa; Platyhelminthes; Trematoda; Strigeidida; Schistosomatidae.